GAUGAACGCUGGCGGCGUGCUUAACACAUGCAAGUCGAACGAAGCAACUUAUCACGAUCCCUUCGGGGUGACGAUUUGUUGACUGAGUGGCGGACGGGUGAGUAACGCGUGGGUAACCUGCCUUAUACAGGGGGAUAGCAGCUGGAAACGGCUGAUAAUACCGCAUAAGCGCACGGUAUCGCAUGAUACAGUGUGAAAAACUCCGGUGGUAUAAGAUGGACCCGCGUCUGAUUAGCUAGUUGGUGGGGCAACGGCCUACCAAGGCGACGAUCAGUAGCCGACCUGAGAGGGUGACCGGCCACAUUGGGACUGAGACACGGCCCAGACUCCUACGGGAGGCAGCAGUGGGGAAUAUUGCACAAUGGAGGAAACUCUGAUGCAGCGACGCCGCGUGAGCGAAGAAGUAUUUCGGUAUGUAAAGCUCUAUCAGCAGGGAAGAUAAUGACGUAC
RNAcentral lists this ribosomal RNA (450 nucleotides) under bacterium NC2014. Its description in RNAcentral is "bacterial SSU rRNA". It matches the Rfam family "Bacterial small subunit ribosomal RNA", at positions 28 to 459 of the family's 1533-position model. The record is from RNAcentral.